CAGCCGCCGCGGGAAUACAGAGGGUGCAAGCGUUAAUCGGAAUUACUGGGCGUAAAGCGCGCGUAGGUGGUUUGUUAAGUUGGAUGUGAAAUCCCGGGCUCAACCUGGGAACUGCAUCCAAAACUGGCAAGCUAGAGUAUGGUAGAGGGUGGUGGAAUUUCCUGUGUAGCGGUGAAAUGCGUAGAUAUAGGAAGGAACACCAGUGGCGAAGGCGACCACCUGGACUGAUACUGACACUGAGGUGCGAAAGCGUGGGGAGCAAACAGGAUUAGAUACCCCCGUAGUCCCUGUCUCUUAUACA
This 301-nucleotide ribosomal RNA is filed under the name uncultured bacterium. RNAcentral describes it as "partial 16S ribosomal RNA". It matches the Rfam family "Bacterial small subunit ribosomal RNA", at positions 509 to 808 of the family's 1533-position model. The record is from RNAcentral.